Molecule: ribosomal RNA, 374 nt
Filed under: uncultured organism
Description: partial 16S ribosomal RNA
Rfam family: Bacterial small subunit ribosomal RNA
Source: RNAcentral
GGAAGGUGCAAGCGUUAAUCGGAAUCACUGGGGCGUAAAGCGCGCGUAGGCGGUUAGAUAAGUCGGGUGUGAAAGCCCCCGGGCUCAACCUGGGGAACUGCAUUCGAUACUGUCUGACUAGAGUGUGAUAGAGGGAGGCGGAAUUCCGCAUGUAGCGGUGAAAUGCGUAGAGAUGCGGAGGAACACCAAUGGCGAAGGCAGCCUCCUGGAUCAACACUGACGCUGAGGUGCGAAAGUGUGGGGAGCAAACAGGAUUAGAUACCCUGGUAGUCCACGCUGUAAACGAUGUCAACUAGCCGUUGGGAGCAAUUUGGCUCUUGGUGGCGCAGCUAACGCGAUAAGUUGACCGCCUGGGGAGUACGGUCGCAAGAUUA